UAGGGUUUGAUUCUGGCUCAGGAUGAACGCUAGCGGGAGGCCUAACACAUGCAAGCCGAGCGGUAGAGAUUCUUCGGGAUCUUGAGAGCGGCGCACGGGUGCGGAACACGUGUGCAACCCGCCUUUAUCUGGGGGAUAGCCUUUCGAAAGGAAGAUUAAUACCCCAUAAUAUAUUUUCUGGCAUCAGAAAAUAUUGAAAACUCCGGUGGAUAGAGAUGGGCACGCGCAGGAUUAGAUAGUUGGUGAGGUAACGGCUCACCAAGUCAACGAUCCUUAGGGGGCCUGAGAGGGUGAUCCCCCACACUGGUACUGAGACACGGACCAGACUCCUACGGGAGGCAGCAGUGAGGAAUAUUGGACAAUGGGUGAGAGCCUGAUCCAGCCAUCCCGCGUGAAGGACGACGGCCCUAUGGGUUGUAAACUUCUUUUGUAUAGGGAUAAACCUUUCCUCGUGAGGGAAGCUGAAGGUACUAUACGAAUAAGCACCGGCUAACUCCGUGCCAGCAGCCGCAGUAAUACGGAGGGUGCAAGCGUUAUCCGGAUUUAUUGGGUUUAAAGGGUCCGUAGGCGGAUCUGUAAGUCAGUGGUGAAAUCUCACAGCUUAACUGUGAAACUGCCAUUGAUACUGCAGGUCUUGAGUGUUGUUGAAGUAGCUGGAAUAAGUAGUGUAGCGGUGAAAUGCAUAGAUAUUACUUAGAACACCAAUUGCGAAGGCAGGUUACUAAGCAACAACUGACGCUGAUGGACGAAAGCGUGGGGAGCGAACAGGAUUAGAUACCCUGGUAGUCCACGCCGUAAACGAUGCUAACUC
RNAcentral lists this ribosomal RNA (811 nucleotides) under Chryseobacterium sp. CI42. Its description in RNAcentral is "bacterial SSU rRNA". It matches the Rfam family "Bacterial small subunit ribosomal RNA", at positions 1 to 818 of the family's 1533-position model. Lineage: Bacteria; Pseudomonadati; Bacteroidota; Flavobacteriia; Flavobacteriales; Weeksellaceae. RNAcentral also lists the same sequence under 1 other name. The record is from RNAcentral.